AAGAUCUCAGCUUCUUCAUAAGCUCCCACACGAAUUGCUUGAUUCACUGGUUAGACGAUUGGGUCUGUAGCUCAGUUGGUUAGAGCGCACCCCUGAUAAGGUGAGGUCGGCAGUUCGAAUCUGCCAGACCACCAAUUGUUGGUGUGCUGCGUGAUCGAAUCGGGCAUAGCUCAGCUGGAGAGCGCCUGCUUUGCACGCAGGAGGUCAGAGUCGAUCUCUNNNNCUCACAUCAACAUCGUCGAAGCUCAGAAAAUGAUGUUCGUGAAUGACAAUGAUUUCUGUCUUGCCCAGAACCUGUCUUAAAAUCGGUAUGUGUAAGAAGUAAGAUCGAAUGAUCUCUUUCACUGGUGAUCAUUCAAGUCAGGUAAAUUUGCGAGUUCAAAGCGCGAAUUUUCGGCGAAUGUCGUCUUCACAGUAUAACCAGAUUGCUUGGGUAUAUGGUCAAGUG
Molecule: unclassified non-coding RNA, 448 nt
Filed under: chlamydia-associated clinical sample L2-comp1
Lineage: Bacteria
Description: intergenic spacer region
Rfam family: tRNA (bases 62-131)
Source: RNAcentral